Molecule: ribosomal RNA, 505 nt
Filed under: uncultured bacterium
Lineage: Bacteria
Description: partial 16S ribosomal RNA
Rfam family: Bacterial small subunit ribosomal RNA
Source: RNAcentral
GACGAACGCUGGCGGCGUGCCUAAUACAUGCAAGUAGAACGCACAGUUUAUACCGUAGCUUGCUACGCCAUAGACUGUGAGUUGCGAACGGGUGAGUAACGCGUAGGUAACCUGCCUGGUAGCGGGGGAUAACUAUUGGAAACGAUAGCUAAUACCGCAUAAUAUUGAUUAUUGCAUGAUAAUUGAUUGAAAGAUGCUAUUGCAUCACUACCAGAUGGACCUGCGUUGUAUUAGCUAGUAGGUGAGGUAACGGCUCACCUAGGCGACGAUACAUAGCCGACCUGAGAGGGUGAUCGGCCACACUGGGACUGAGACACGGCCCAGACUCCUACGGGAGGCAGCAGUAGGGAAUCUUCGGCAAUAGACGAAAGUCUGACCGAGCAACGCCGCGUGAGUGAAGAAGGUUUUCGGAUCGUAAAGCUCUGUUGUAAGAGAAGAACGGGUGUGAGAGUGGAAAGUUCACACUGUGACGGUAUCUUACCAGAAAGGGACGGCUAACUACGUG